CGCAGGUCUCCAUCCUGAAAACAAAAUAUGCAGAAGGAAAACUUCCACUCUACUAUGAUCAUGGCACUGAAUAUUAGAAGAAUGCAGAAACCAACUGUAGGUACAUGUACCUUCUCAAUUUCUCUUAUAAGCAGAAGAGGACUGGGAUGUACCCUUUGGCUUCCAUGGUGGUCCAGCCUGGAGCUGUUUUCCCUGUUGUACAUAGAAGAUGGUUUUCUUCUCUAAAUGUUGGGAAACCUCUUCCUUUCCUACUAUGGAAAAAGUAUGAGGCAACCCCCAACCAGGAGGAGGUGUGGCUGCAGGCAGCAGGUAGAACCAAAGUCAGUCUCAGGAACAGCAGGACAGGGCCUGGCAUAGAGGAGUCAAUAAAUAUUGAAUUGAAGAAGGUACAAUCUCAGCAGGUAUGAGUCCCCCCACCAGAGCACAUUAGACUCAUCAAUACAAAUAAGCAAUCACUGCAGUCAAACAAAGUUUGUGCUUUAAAAAGAAAACAUAAAUAUGCUGAAAAAGUCCAUCAAAAAGGUCAUGCAUAGUGAAAAUGUAGACUCAACUUGAUGACUGGAAGUCACAACUGAAUCAAGCAAACCUGCCCCACAUGGCAGUAAGCCAGCCCUAUGGGACCACUCUGUGAUCAUUAAUUUCUCCCCACUCUUCUAGGAGUAUCUGUACACAGGGUUUGUUCUGACAUGUACAUACUGAGUCUCUUCCUUCCAAACUAUUGUCGUCGUCAGUGUGGCAGGUGUAUGCAAUGGGGCAGCACACAGAAGGAAAAAGAAGGCAGUCAUGACUGUGAUGGGGCCUACUGAAUCCCCUAAUUCAUGUUAUGUUCCAAAAUUUAUUUGAUUGAUGAAGAAUUUCUUGAGAUCUGAGUAAAAUGUAAAGAACUGACAGUGGGAAGAACAGAAAUAUAUAUGUAUAUA
RNAcentral lists this long non-coding RNA (920 nucleotides) under Homo sapiens (human). Its description in RNAcentral is "HSALNT0381215". The record is from RNAcentral. Lineage: Eukaryota; Metazoa; Chordata; Mammalia; Primates; Hominidae.